This 498-nucleotide ribosomal RNA is filed under the name Bergeyella zoohelcum. RNAcentral describes it as "bacterial SSU rRNA". It matches the Rfam family "Bacterial small subunit ribosomal RNA", at positions 9 to 497 of the family's 1533-position model. The record is from RNAcentral. Lineage: Bacteria; Pseudomonadati; Bacteroidota; Flavobacteriia; Flavobacteriales; Weeksellaceae.
GAGUUUGAUUAUGGCUCAGGACUAACGCUAGCGGGAGGCCUAACACAUGCAAGCCGAGCGGGAUUUGUUGGUUAGCUUGCUAACUAAUAAUGAGAGCGGCGUACGGGUGCGUAACACGUGUGCAACCUGCCUUUAUCUGGGGGAUAGCCUUUCGAAAGGAAGAUUAAUACCCCAUAAUAUAUUAAUUGGCAUCAAUUGAUAUUGAAAGCUCCGGCGGAUAGAGAUGGGCACGCGUAAGAUUAGCUAGUUGGUGAGGUAACGGCUCACCAAGGCUGCGAUCUUUAGGGGGCCUGAGAGGGUGAUCCCCCACACUGGUACUGAGACACGGACCAGACUCCUACGGGAGGCAGCAGUGAGGAAUAUUGGACAAUGGGUGAGAGCCUGAUCCAGCCAUCCCGCGUGAAGGACUAAGGACCUAUGGUUUGUAAACUUCUUUUAUACAGGGAUAAACCUACUCUCGUGAGGGUAGCUGAAGGUACUGUAUGAAUAAGCACCGCA